GGGUGUUUGCCCGAGUGGUUAAGGGGGUGGACCUGAAAUCCUGUAGCCUAGGUCAGCGUGGGUUCGAGUCCCGCAGCACACA
RNAcentral lists this transfer RNA (82 nucleotides) under Perkinsus olseni. RNAcentral's name for it is "tRNA-Ser". It matches the Rfam family "tRNA". From Rfam's summary of the family: Transfer RNA (tRNA) molecules are approximately 80 nucleotides in length. Their secondary structure includes four short double-helical elements and three loops (D, anti-codon, and T loops). The record is from RNAcentral. Lineage: Eukaryota; Perkinsozoa; Perkinsida; Perkinsidae.